Molecule: ribosomal RNA, 454 nt
Filed under: uncultured bacterium
Lineage: Bacteria
Description: bacterial SSU rRNA
Rfam family: Bacterial small subunit ribosomal RNA
Source: RNAcentral
UACGGAAGGCAGCAGGGGGAAUAUUGCACAAUGGGCGCAAGCCUGAUGCAGCCAUGCCGCGUGUAUGAAGAAGGCCUUCGGGUUGUAAAGUACUUUCAGUCGUGAGGAAGGUGUUAAGGUUAAUAACCUUAGCAAUUGACGUUAGCGACAGAAGAAGCACCGGCUAACUCCGUGCCAGCAGCCGCGGUAAUACGGAGGGUGCGAGCGUUAAUCGGAAUUACUGGGCGUAAAGGGCACGCAGGCGGUUAAUUAAGUUGGAUGUGAAAUCCCCGGGCUUAACCUGGGAAUGGCAUUCAAGCUGGUUAGCUAGAGUCUUGUAGAGGGGGGUUAGAAUUCCAUAUGUAGCGGUGAAAUGGCGUAGAGAUGUGGAGGAAUACCGGUGGCGAAGGCGGCCCCUGGACAAAGACUGACGCUCAUGUGCGAAAGCGUGGGGAGCAAACAGGGAUUAGAUACC